GAUGAACGCUGGCGGCGUGCCUAACACAUGCAAGUCGAGCGAACAGACGAGGAGCUUGCUCCUCUGACGUUAGCGGCGGACGGGUGAGUAACACGUGGAUAACCUACCUAUAAGACUGGGAUAACAUCGGGAAACCGGAGCUACUACCGGAUAAUAUAUUGAACCGCAUGGUUCAAUAGUGAAAGACGGUUUUGCUGUCACUUAUAGAUUGAUCCGCGCCGCAUUAGCUAGUUGGUAAGGUAACGGCUUACCAAGGCAACGAUGCGUAGCCGACCUGAGAGGGUGGUCGGCCACACUGGAACUGAGACACGGUCCAGACUCCUACGGGAGGAAGCAGUAGGGAAUCUUCCGCAAUGGGCGAAAGCCUGACGGAGCAACGCCGCGUGAGUGAUGAAGGUCUUCGGAUCGUAAAGCUCUGUUAUUAGGAAAGAACAAAUGUGUAAGUAACUAUGAACGUCUUAACGGUACCUAAUCAGAAAGCCACGGCUAACUACGUG
This 497-nucleotide ribosomal RNA is filed under the name uncultured bacterium. RNAcentral's name for it is "partial 16S ribosomal RNA". It matches the Rfam family "Bacterial small subunit ribosomal RNA", at positions 28 to 507 of the family's 1533-position model. The record is from RNAcentral.